Molecule: non-coding RNA, 233 nt
Organism: Vicugna pacos (alpaca)
Lineage: Eukaryota; Metazoa; Chordata; Mammalia; Artiodactyla; Camelidae
Source: RefSeq, a predicted model, not a curated record
GGUGGGGGCCUUGGCUGCCGGAGACUCGCCAGAUGUUGGACUCCAGGUGACAUUUUAGGUUAUUGGGUCACAGAUUGCUGGCACACCCAUCCCUGUUCUCAAACAUCUUUUAAACUUGGGUGAAGUGAUAAGUAGGGGAAGAAGAUGAUUUACUGAAAGGCAGUCACAGUAAAAGACAGAGCUGAUAUAAAAAUCCCUCAGCUGCUUGAACUGCAAAGCUUCUGGGAUUACUG